Molecule: ribosomal RNA, 253 nt
Filed under: uncultured archaeon
Lineage: Archaea
Description: partial 16S ribosomal RNA
Rfam family: Archaeal small subunit ribosomal RNA
Source: RNAcentral
UACAGGGGAUGCAAGUGUUAUCCGGAAUUAUUGGGUCUAAAGCGUCCGUAGCAGGUUUUGUAAAUUCCUUGUGAAAUUGCCAGGCUUAACUUGGCAGAGUGCAGGGAACACUGUAGAACUUGGGACCGGGAAGGGUCAGAGGUAUUCCUGAGGGAGCGGUAAAAUGCUAUAAUCUCAGGAGGACCACCGGUGGCGAAGGCGUCUGACUAGAACGGAUCCGACUGUGAGGGACGAAAGCCAGGGGAUCAAAACG